GUGUCAGCAGCCGCGGUAAGACGUAGGGCGCGAGCGUUGUCCGGAUUUAUUGGGCGUAAAGAGCUCGUAGGCGGCUCAUUGCGUCAACCGUGAAAUCCUGCUGCUCAACGGCAGGUCUGCGGUUGAUACGGGUGGGCUGGAGUUCGGUAGGGGAGACUGGAAUUCCUGGUGUAGCGGUGAAAUGCGCAGAUAUCAGGAGGAACACCGGUGGCGAAGGCGGGUCUCUGGGCCGAUACUGACGCUGAGGAGCGAAAGCGUGGGGAGCGAACAGGAUUAGAUACCCUGGUAGUCCACGCUGUAAACGUUGGGCGCUAGGUGUGGGGGGCCUCUCCGGUUUCCUGCGCCGUAGCUAACGCAUUAAGCGCCCCGCCUGGGGAGUACGGCCGCAAGGCUAAA
RNAcentral lists this ribosomal RNA (396 nucleotides) under uncultured bacterium. RNAcentral describes it as "bacterial SSU rRNA". It matches the Rfam family "Bacterial small subunit ribosomal RNA", at positions 505 to 898 of the family's 1533-position model. The record is from RNAcentral.